Molecule: unclassified non-coding RNA, 85 nt
Filed under: Pseudomonas migulae
Lineage: Bacteria; Pseudomonadati; Pseudomonadota; Gammaproteobacteria; Pseudomonadales; Pseudomonadaceae
Source: RNAcentral
GUAGGAGCCGGCUUGCUGGCGAGGCGAGCACCGCGGUGUGACAGCUUCACCUCGGUGAUGCAAUCGCCAGCAAGCCGGCUCCUAC